GACGAACCGUGCGAACGUUGUUCGGAAUCACUGGGCUUAAAGGGCGCGUAGGCGGGCCGCCAAGUCCGGGGUGAAAGCUUCCGGCUUAACCGGAAAAGGGCCUUGGAUACUGGCGGUCUGGAGGGAGGUAGGGGUCUGCGGAACUGCUGGUGGAGCGGUGAAAUGCGUUGAUAUCUACAGGAACUCCGGUGGCGAAAGCGGCGCGCUGGACCUCUUCUGACGCUGAGGCGCGAAAGCUAGGGGAGCAAACGGG
RNAcentral lists this ribosomal RNA (253 nucleotides) under uncultured bacterium. Its description in RNAcentral is "partial 16S ribosomal RNA". It matches the Rfam family "Bacterial small subunit ribosomal RNA", at positions 524 to 776 of the family's 1533-position model. The record is from RNAcentral.